CGUAAAGUUCUGUCCUUGGGGAAGAAGGGCAUUUUCGGAUGUCUUGACGGUACCCAAGAAGAAAGCCCCGGCUAACUACGUGCCAGCAGCCGCGGUAAUAC
RNAcentral lists this ribosomal RNA (101 nucleotides) under Tepidimicrobium sp. Its description in RNAcentral is "partial 16S ribosomal RNA". It matches the Rfam family "Bacterial small subunit ribosomal RNA", at positions 424 to 526 of the family's 1533-position model. The record is from RNAcentral. Lineage: Bacteria; Bacillati; Bacillota; Tissierellia; Tissierellales; Tepidimicrobiaceae.